UUUGCCAAAAAUGCAUUAAAAAGGUCCUGAUCAAACUUCGAAGUGAGCCCUGCUUGGAACAAAAGACUGGAUUAGGUGACCUCUGUGAUCAGGUUGUGUGUAUCAUAAAUACGUAGCACUGAACUGCUUGGCCUUCUCUAUAGCUUUUAAUGCAAAACACCUAGUAAAAUGAUCAGAGUAAUAGCUAAAUGGUAGAGAAGGAUUCAACAAGUGUUGGAAGACUAGUAGCGGUAAUCUAUGCCAUCCACUUCUGCAUUAUAUAGAGACAGGUAAAACAAUACCUAGUGCUCCACCAGGCUCUCGGCUAGAAGAUCAACUGUCCGGAGUGGGACAAAAAUGCUAUUUCACUUACAAGAAGAGGAAAUGUUUAGUAACACUCUCUCCUUUAUCCUUUUCCCUCAACACCUUUUAACUGAAUCAAGUAUAAACUCUAUAAAUCAAUGGGAUUAAUUUAUAUCUUAAAUCUCUUUAGGACAAGCACUCAGAAGACAGAUAGGGGCCUGAUUCUGCAACUACUUAUAUCGGGUAACCCAAGCAGUUUUGGGCUCAAGAAUAAAAAUCCUCAAACACUGAUAAGAGAGGAUGAGAGGACUUCCUUGCCAUUUCUCUCUCCAGCCAYCUGUUUUGAAUUGGAUACAUGCACUGAACUCAAAUUUUAUGUUCACAAGAGAAGUCUGCCAGUCUCUCCUACAGAAUUUCUGAGAAGUCCUAAACUCUACCUUGUUCUCAACAGCCAAAAAGAACUGUGAUGCCUUCACCCUCCUUGUAGCAGGAAAACUUAUCAACAAACACUUCAUACCAUUUUGGGGAUGAGGAUGCCUUCCAAAAAAAGCGUAGUGAAUUUUUUUGUUUGUUUGUUUCUUUUCACCAUUCUUGCCUUUGGAGCAUUAAGUGUCCGCAUUAUAAUAUAUGUCUCAUUAGAAACAUUGUGUGUAGCAGUCUUGCAGAGAGGGAUUCCUAACAUUUUCUGGGAAUCUGUGACCUUACUAUUAUCAGAAAGCAUCAAAAGCCAUUAUCUAAUGGACACAAAGUAGUUUUCUGAAACAGAUUUCUGAAAACGUAAUUUUUCUUUUUCCUUAUGCUGCUACAAGAUAGAACAAAGGUCACUG
RNAcentral lists this long non-coding RNA (1109 nucleotides) under Dromaius novaehollandiae (emu). Its description in RNAcentral is "lncRNA (ENSDNVG00000008102.1)". The record is from RNAcentral. Lineage: Eukaryota; Metazoa; Chordata; Aves; Casuariiformes; Dromaiidae.